Molecule: ribosomal RNA, 350 nt
Filed under: uncultured bacterium
Lineage: Bacteria
Description: partial 16S ribosomal RNA
Rfam family: Bacterial small subunit ribosomal RNA
Source: RNAcentral
CCUACGGGAGGCAGCAGUCGAGAAUCAUUCACAAUGGGGGAAACCCUGAUGGUGCGACGCCGCGUGGGGGAAUGAAGGUCUUCGGAUUGUAAACCCCUUUCGUGUGGGAGCAAACUAAAAAGAUAGUACCACAAGAGGAAGAGCCGGCUAACUCUGUGCCAGCAGCCGCGGUAAUACAGAGGCCUCAAGAGUUGUUCGGAAUCACUGGGCGUAAAGCGUGCGUAGGCUGUUUGAUAUGUCGUGUGUGAAAGGCGCGGGCUCAACCCGCGGACGGCACAUGAUACUGCGAGACUAGAGCAAUGUAGCGGGAGGCGGAAUGUUCGGUGUAGCAGUGAAAUGCGUAGAGAUCG